This is a long non-coding RNA of Rhineura floridana, 3621 nucleotides long. RefSeq lists it as uncharacterized. The record is from RefSeq and is a predicted model, not a curated record. NCBI's taxonomy places the organism in Eukaryota, Metazoa, Chordata, Lepidosauria, Squamata, Rhineuridae. The transcript has 3 exons.
UAAAUGGUUGGCAGGCCCCUCCCCCUCGCGCCGGGCGCUUUUUCGUCAGCUAGGAGGUUGAAGUCCUGAAGUGGUAGCCUUGACUCGGAGUUGCUCGGCUCUGGACUACGCCACCCGAGACAGCGGGCAGAGCCGACCAAAGGGCAUCUCUUUCCACCAGUUUCCUGUUGACACUCUACAGUGUACCAGAUGGAUUCAUGCUGUUAACAGAGUGGACUCCAAAUGCAAAAAUAUUUGGAUUCCAGGUCCUGGUGCUAUUUUGUGUUCUAAACGUUUUGCAGAAACAGACUUUGAAUCGUAUGGAAUGAGAGGAAAGCUAAAGAAAGGAGCAGUGCCUUCUAUUUUCCAGCAUAAGAUAUUCUUAAUAGUAAUUAUAAAGUGGGUAUAAUGCUAAAAAAAUAAGCAGGAUCCUCAAAGUAAGUACCAAAGAAGCAAGAUGUCUCAGAAAGCUGUCAAGCUACUUCUUGCCAGUCAUUCUUAUGAUGAGGAGGCCAUUAAUGAAGAUCACAAUUACAGCUUAAGAAGAGCGCAGGUCCUUUCCGAACAGCAGAGAUGCAUUACAAUUGCCUGGAAAAAAUGGUGCAGCCCAAAGGAGACUUUUACAUCAACAAAGAAAGGCUGGAUGGAUGAUCAGGGAGCUGGCAGAAAAGAGACUCCUCCCAGAAGAAACUGUAGACCUGUUGCAGGUUCUGUUUUCUGGAAAUCUGUGGGCCUUGUGUUAGACUGGAAAUAUCUGCAGGCCGUCCUACUUAAGAUGAAAAUGGGAAGGAACUAUAGACCACAUGCCUUGCAUGCAGAAGGGCGCAGGUUCAAUCUGGUAUAACAUAGCUUUGUAGGUUUAGUUGCUAUGUGUUUGGCUUUAUUUUAAAUCACGGUGCCUAAGCUACCUUUGAAUUGUCUUUGGAAAGUUCAGUUGAUCCAGAAUGCAACAGCAGCGAGGCUGGUAGUUGUUAUUUUUUUGUUUAGAGUAUUUGUAUCCCACUCUUCAGCCAAAAAGGCUCCCAGAGUAGCUCACACAUCAUCAAUUAAAACAAGACCAUUUUGCUGUCAGGCUUACAAUUGAAAAAAACAUGAUGCACAAGGGAAACAGGACAGGCAGGGACCAAUCCUUCAGUAAUAGUCCUUAUAAUGACCAGCUGGACAAGAAACAGCACGGGGGUAGAAGGUGCCUGUUGGAGCUGGUCUUCUGAUACAACUGAUGGCUUGAGUCCUGCUUCCCAUCUCUCCUACUGAAGCAGCCUGAUGGAAUGGCUGCUGCCAGGUGACAAUUGAGGGAGAGGAAGCCUGAUGGGGCUGGUUUUUCACAGGGUAAUAUCAUGCCAGCACUGGCAGCAACAGCUGCACUUAUUACCCUUUUCCCCUCAAUCCUCCCUUUCUAUGAGAUUGUGGCAGAUAAUGGUUUAAAGUCAUAAGUUCCACUGAUAUGUAGACAAUUUUAUAGGCCACUUAGAGAUUUUUCUUUGAUAUUAUGCUGGUUAGAAAUGCUCAUAAAUGGAUGGGGUAUAUUAGCAAAAGCAAUGCAAAUAUAGUAUAACCCUGCUAUAAGGCAGCUCACCGUACUGGGGAUUUGGAUAUACCAAAAUGUCCCAGAGUACUAUACUGUGUACAACAUUGCAGUUUUUGUUAUAAUGCAGAACCCCUUUAAUACAGGUACAUCCUUUGUCCUCCAACCCCCACAUUAUAAUGAGGUUCUACUAUAGUUGAUUUCCUCUUCAUAAAUUUCUGUUUGUUUGGUUUUCUUCUGAAUGGUUAACCAGUUAAAUAUGGUUGUACACUGCUUUGAGAAUUUUUUUGAGCAAGUGGUUUAUAAAAAUUUAUUUAUUUAGAAAAAAACAGUCAAGGGCAUAUCAAUAUCUAACCCACAAAUAAAUUCAGAUUUUGAGUCACGGAACCUAUAUUCUGCACUCAGAUUGACAAGUUUGCUUGCCAGAAUUCUACUACAAAGUUGUUGCUUUAAAGGCUUGCUCUUGUUUCAGCUGGAUAGAAAACAUUAAAUCCUUAAGUAAGAACAGUCUUACAUUCUGGACAGUUUCUAAAUCUAUACAACUAUGGCCUCAGUUGCACAGAUCUGAAUUAUUAAACCAGCCUUAUUCUCUGGUUUUUAAAUAUUUUAAGCACUCUCAUAAUUUGGGUGGAUCAAAGAUGCAUUGUUGUACAGUAUCCAUUUCAUGCCUUUGUAGUUUGAGCACAAGCAAUUCCUGCUUCUUAACUGGUGUUGUACCUUGAUUCAGAUACAACAACCCCCCAACAGUGAUAGGUUAGUAAAAUAACUUUUUUUGCGUGUGGGGGGGAGGCAAGCCACUAUUCAGUUUACAAAGCAGCUUGUCUCUUCAGCAAUGGAAGCUACUGCAGGUAACACUCUGGUUGUGCAUCACAGUUCUUCUAUUUGUGGAUGUAUAACUUUUUUGGACUUCAGAAUUAGAGAGAAGUUGAUUGGGUCUUCCAUUGGGAAGAGGCUGAAUCCUUGGCUAAAAUUCAGGGGAGGAAAUUGCAAUCAGAAUUAAUGUAUGCCCUUUCCUAACAACAUACUGUACAGCCUUCCUGCUGCAGAUGGCUGUUCCCAUUGUUAUAGGCUGCCUUUGAUUUUUCUUGUUUUUGGCCCUUUCAAGCUCUCCAAGGUUAAAUAAAAUUAUAAAAGUUGGGAGACAGUUAUUAUUGAAAAAACAACAGCUAAAGUGAAAGCUGCUGUAAGAGUUAAGCUUCUUUUGCGUUCCUCUCCCUCUUCCCCUAUCUGAAGACUGGGCAAUCUCCCGCCUCUCUGCUGGAGAACAGCUGGUCCAGAAGUCUGCCAAGAGUCUGGGCACUUCCCUCCUCCCAUCUGUAAACAAAAGGCAUAUCUGGAACAAGCCUAUUAGACCAUUGGGGAGAGACAAACUGCAAUAUUGUCAACUCAUAAAGAGUCACAAGGCCUGUUAUACUUGUAAUGAAUUACAGGAUGCAAAGCAGUUAGCCCUUCAAGGAGGCACAAGAGAGUAAAGUGAAAGCCCUCAUCCGAUAAGAAAAGCCUAUAAAUAGCCCACAAACCCGAUGCUCAAUGCCAGUCCUUCGAGACUGUGCCAGAGGCCAGUCCUAGUGACUGUGCCAAAAAAGCUGCCUGAUGCUGAACAAUGGCUGCUUAGAAGCCAAGCAAAUUCCUCCAUUUUAUAGAUCCCCAUACAAGAGUGAAAACAUUCAUUUUCCUGAAGUGAAAAGUAUGUAUUGCAUUGUAUUUAGGCAGGUGUUAUGCCAAGUUUUCAUAAUAUAUAUUAUGUAGUUUCGAGACCCUUUGGCUGAGGCCAAAGAGAGUAUUAUUUGCACACAUAAGAAGCAUCUAAGGCUGUUCUUAGAUGAAUGCUUACAUGUAUAACUAUAAGCACUUGUUAAAGAAACUUGUUAAAGCUGCUUUAACCAUUAUAAGAUAAAGCUAGCUAUGUGCGUCUCUAACCCAUGUGAUGUAAGAUAGAGCCAGCUACAUGCUUGUUAGCAUUGUAUGUCCUGGCUAUGGCGAGCAAUAUAUGUCUGUUUAGCUAUUAAGUUAUUGGCUAAGACCAGAUUCUUUCUAUAAUUAUGUAUGCACAAUUUCUGCAAUGGCUGAGGCAAGCUACUAGUCCUUAGUAUAGAAAUAAAGGAAUAUAUUUUGAA